RNAcentral lists this ribosomal RNA (984 nucleotides) under Jattaea sp. RNAcentral describes it as "partial large subunit ribosomal RNA". It matches the Rfam family "Eukaryotic large subunit ribosomal RNA", at positions 71 to 1013 of the family's 3401-position model. The record is from RNAcentral. Lineage: Eukaryota; Fungi; Ascomycota; Sordariomycetes; Calosphaeriales; Calosphaeriaceae.
GGGAUUGCCCCAGUAACGGCGAGUGAAGCGGCAACAGCUCAGAUUUGAAAUCCGGCCUCGGCCCGAGUUGUAAUCUGUAGGGGAUGUCCCUGGCGCGGCGCCUACCGAGUUCCCUGGAACGGGACGCCAUAGAGGGUGAGAGCCCCGUAUGGUUGGACGCCUAGCCUCUGUGGGACUCCUCCGACGAGUCGAGUAGUUUGGGAAUGCUGCUCUAAUUGGGAGGUAAAUCUCUUCUAAAGCUAAAUACCGGCCAGAGACCGAUAGCGCACAAGUAGAGUGAUCGAAAGAUGAAAAGCACCUUGGAAAGGGGGUUAAAAAGCACGUGAAAUUGUUGAAAGGGAAGCGCCCAUGACCAGACUCGCGCCGGGCGGAUCAUCCAGCGUUCUCGCUGGUGCACUCCGCCCGGUACGGGCCAGCAUCGGUUUCUGCGGGGGGAUAAGAGCAGCGGGGACGUGGCCCCUCCGGGGGUGUUAUAACCCGCUGCACGAUGCCCUCUCGGGGACCGAGGUUCGCGCUCUGCAAGGAUGCUGGCAUAAUGGUCAUCGGCGACCCGUCUUGAAACACGGACCAAGGAGUCGUCCAUUACGGCGAGCGUUUGGGUGUCAAACCCCUACGCGUAAUGAAAGUGAACGCAGGUGAGAGCUUCGGCGCAUCAUCGACCGAUCCUGAUGUAUUCGGAUGGAUUUGAGUAAGAGUCGUACCGGACGGACCCGAAAGAUGGUGAACUAUGCCUGAAUAGGGUGAAGCCAGAGGAAACUCUGGUGGAGGCUCGCAGCGGUUCUGACGUGCAAAUCGAUCGUCAAAUUUGGGCAUGGGGGCGAAAGACUAAUCGAACCAUCCUCAUGGCAUCUAAAAAAAGGUUUUUUUUAGCUACUAGGUGGUUGAGAGGAGCGCUUAAGGUGCUUCUAGUCGCGGGAGAGUUUGGUCCUCCAGGCGGCGACACUGUCAAAUUGCGGGAAAGCCUGUUAAUUGCCUAAGCUACCG